This 72-nucleotide transfer RNA is filed under the name Artocarpus integer (chempedak). RNAcentral describes it as "tRNA-Gly". It matches the Rfam family "tRNA". Rfam says of the family: Transfer RNA (tRNA) molecules are approximately 80 nucleotides in length. The record is from RNAcentral. Lineage: Eukaryota; Viridiplantae; Streptophyta; Magnoliopsida; Rosales; Moraceae.
GCGGGUAUAGUUUAGUGGUAAAACCUCUAGCCUUCCAAGCUAAUGAUGCGGGUUCGAUUCCCGCUACCCGCU